CCGAGUUUACAACUCCCAAACCCAAUGUGAACGUUACCAAACUGUUGCCUCGGCGGGGUCACGCCCCGGGUGCGUAAAAGCCCCGGAACCAGGCACCCGCCGGAGGAACCAACCAAACUCUUUCUGUAGUCCCCUCGCGGACGUAUUUCUUACAGCUCUGAGCAAAAAUUCAAAAUGAAUC
This 181-nucleotide unclassified non-coding RNA is filed under the name soil metagenome. RNAcentral describes it as "partial internal transcribed spacer 1". The record is from RNAcentral.